GAACGGGUGAGUAAUACAUCGGAACGUGCCCAGUAAUGGGGGAUAGCUCGGCGAAAGCCGGAUUAAUACCGCAUACGCCCUGAGGGGGAAAGUGGGGGACCGCAAGGCCUCACGUUAUUGGAGCGGCCGAUGGCUGAUUAGCUAGUUGGUAGGGUAAAGGCCUACCAAGGCGACGAUCAGUAGCUGGUCUGAGAGGACGAUCAGCCACACUGGGACUGAGACACGGCCCAGACUCCUACGGGAGGCAGCAGUGGGGAAUUUUGGACAAUGGGGGAAACCCUGAUCCAGCAAUGCCGCGUGUGCGAAGAAGGCCUUCGGGUUGUAAAGCACUUUUGUCAGGGAAGAAAUCCUUUGGGCUAAUACCCUAGGGGGAUGACGGUACCUGAAGAAUAAGCACCGGCUAACUACGUGCCAGCAGCCGCGGUAAUACGUAGGGUGCAAGCGUUAAUCGGAAUUACUGGGCGUAAAGCGUGCGCAGGCGGUUGUGUAAGACAGGUGUGAAAUCCCCGGGCUUAACCUGGGAAUUGCAUUUGUGACUGCACGACUAGAGUGUGUCAGAGGGGGGUGGAAUUCCACGUGUAGCAGUGAAAUGCGUAGAUAUGUGGAGGAACACCAAUGGCGAAGGCAGCCCCCUGGAUAACACUGACGCUCAUGCACGAAAGCGCGGGGAGCAAACAGGAUUAGAUACCCUGGUAGUCCACGCCCUAAACGAUGUCAACUAGUUGUUGGGGAUUUACUUCCUUGGUAACGUAGCUAACGCGUGAAGUUGACCGCCUGGGGAGUACG
This 786-nucleotide ribosomal RNA is filed under the name uncultured bacterium. RNAcentral describes it as "bacterial SSU rRNA". It matches the Rfam family "Bacterial small subunit ribosomal RNA", at positions 100 to 884 of the family's 1533-position model. The record is from RNAcentral.